GAUGAACGCUAGCGGCAGGCCUAAUACAUGCAAGUCAAGGGGGCAGCAAUGUCACCGGCGGACGGGUGCGUAACGCGUACACAACAUACCUUUAAGCGGGGGAUAGCAUUGGGAAACUGGUGGUAAUACCCCAUAACAUUGCGAGGUGGCAUUACUUUGCAAUUAAAGUUACGGCGCUUAGAGAUUGGUGUGCGUCUGAUUAGCUAGUUGGCGGGGUAAAGGCCCACCAAGGCGACGANCAGUAGGGGGUGUGAGAGCAUGACCCCCCACAUGGGUACUGAGACACGGACCCAACUCCUACGGGAGGCAGCAGUAAGGAAUAUUGGACAAUGGACGGAAGUCUGAUCCAGCCAUGCCG
Molecule: ribosomal RNA, 358 nt
Filed under: uncultured bacterium
Lineage: Bacteria
Description: bacterial SSU rRNA
Rfam family: Bacterial small subunit ribosomal RNA
Source: RNAcentral